CGGGCUUGUUUACGGCCCGACUGCGCAGGCGUGCUCACCUGGCGCGCUCCACGCGGCGGGGCGUCCGCAGGCUCCUCCCCCUGCCGGGCGCGGCCUCGGCGCGACCCCAGAGACUCGCAGGUGUUGUGGUGCGAGACGGAUUGGCGGGGAGAGGACGUACAGAUACGUAGCAUCUGUGUUUGCUAGUCAAAUAUCUGCAUACCUAUAUGCGGAUGGGCCCUGAUCCGAAUGCUGGUGUCCUUGUGAGAAGAAGAGAGGCACAGACACACAGAGGCAGUGAGCAAAGUGCUGCGGCUGCAAUUGGAGGAACCCCAGGAUUGCCAGCGAACCCCCCAAACUAGGAGGAGGCAGGAAGAAUCCUUCCCUACUAGUUUCAGAGAGAGCAGACCCUGUCUGUACCUCAGUUUCAGACACUGAACUUCCACAUCUGUGAGACAGCAAAUGUUUUAAGUCACCUGCUUUGUGGUACUUUGUCGCAUUAGCCCUAAGAAAUGAAUACAGAUGCUGUAGGUAAUCAGAAUAUCUAAAAACAAGUGAAUUUUAGAUCUGAGAAACAUUCUAAUUGGAAAAAAAAAGGUUAAGUUAUCGUUAUUUACCCAUGAUAUUUGUUUGGAAAAUGCAAGAAAAUAAAUGAAAAGGGGCUUCCCUGGUGGUCCAGUGGCUAAGACUCCAUGCUUCCAAUGCAGGAGGCCCAGGUUUGAUCCCUGCUCAGAAAACUAGGGCUUCCCCAGUGGCU
Molecule: long non-coding RNA, 736 nt
Organism: Bubalus bubalis (water buffalo)
Lineage: Eukaryota; Metazoa; Chordata; Mammalia; Artiodactyla; Bovidae
Exons: 3
Source: RefSeq, a predicted model, not a curated record